This 266-nucleotide unclassified non-coding RNA is filed under the name Hevea brasiliensis (rubber tree). The record is from RNAcentral. Lineage: Eukaryota; Viridiplantae; Streptophyta; Magnoliopsida; Malpighiales; Euphorbiaceae.
UCUAGAAAGUUAAAGCAUGUGAUAUAUGAAAACAAUGUAGGGUUCCAUCAAGUUCCAAAAAAUAAUACAUGAAUUUAUUGGUGAUGAGAGAAUAAAAUACCCUAAAAAUGUCCUUAUUCUAAUUGCGAGGCAAAUAAAAAAAUAAAAUAUAAAAAAUAUAAAAAAAAAAAGAUGAAGAAAGAAAGAAACUAAGUGCAGAAAAUUAAGGUUUGAAGUUUCCAAGUGGAUUGGAAAUGAACAAUUUUAGUCAUAUUCAGCAAGGAAUA